GACCCUUUGAUAGUGUCUGACAAUGAGUUAGUUAGGUUUAUAUUUAUUUUAGAAAGAGACUAUCUGCCCAUGUGAGAACCAAUCAGGUUAUACAUAUAAGGCAAUAUGGCGUCACAAUAACGCAGCAAAUCCGCUAAAAAUGUCAAACUUUACACGCUUAUAACCUUUUAACCAUUGGAUUCCUAAAGUUAAAACUAGCAUUUUCAGAUUCUACGCAAAAAAACCUAUAAAUCUAAAAAAAAAAGGUCCAAAAUUUUGGGUCCGAUAAAGUAAAGUUUUACCUCAAUGACACAUUUCCUCUAGAGAAAAAAAGCAUGAAGAUAUUGUAGCGAUAUUACAGAUUGUAAGAACACAACUAUUCUACAUAAACUUGUAGAAAUAUAAAUAUUAACCAAAAUAUUAAGUAAAAUAAGGAUGGAGAAUAACGUUAUACCCUUAACUAAUCCUUGGGAUUCUUUAUCUACGGUAACAAGAUUUGACAGAGGCAAUGGUGCAAAAACUACAGUAUGUUUGAAUAAUGAUAGCAAUCAAAAUAAUGGACAACUUGUAAGCAGAGUUACACCUUCUACCAGUUUGUUAAUCGAGUCACUUAUACAACAGCUUUGUGUGCUAUUCGAAGGUGAUAAUUUGGUUCGCAGAAACAAAUUAUAUUUUGCUAUUUGUGAUAGGCUUCACGAAUUGAAGUUAAUUGAUAGUUCAUACAAUAUGAUGGAAUUUGAAACAUUGAGAAGUCAGUAUCAACGUGCAUUGUAUCAUUUAGUCACAGUUGCACGUGCAGCAACUGGUUGUGAAAGUAUACUGCAGGUUCCUAGUUCAUUAAUACCAGAAUGGUCCCGGUAUCACAGAGAGUUUCAAGAAAUAGGUUUUAUUGCUGCUGGUGGGUUUGGAAAUGUUUUCAAAGCCUUGCAUCGUCUUGAUGGCAUCGAAUAUGCUAUCAAAAAAAUAAUAGUACGUUCUGGACGAGUUAAAAGUAUCAUGCAGCAUCUUGAAGAAGUAAAAACGUUGGCCAAAUUAAAUCAUACCAAUAUAGUUUCGUAUAAAGGUGCCUGGAUUGAAUCAACGCUAUCUUCAACUUUUAUACCAAGUUUAUUAUCUCCAAAUCAUUUUCAAAGCAAAUCAAGUUCUUCAAAUCACAGAAGAAAGAGCAGAUAUAAAUUGUAUAGAAGUCAAUCUUCUAGUACACAGAAUCAGUUAAGUCCUAACAGUAAUUGUAGUGGUCAAAGUCCAAAAAAAAGUGAUGAAGAUAUAUUUUUACAACAAAAUAAAAACGCAAAUUGUAAAUUUGGGGAGCAAUUAAAUGAUGGAAAUGUUACAGAAGAAAAUAUUGAUAGAAAUAAUUCAAAUAGUAUAUCUUUCAGAAAUGAUAGCAAGAAUCAAGAUAAGAAAACAGAAAAUAAUACAAAUUAUACAGAUGGUACUGAUUCGUAUGAAGAAACUAGUAGCAAUAAAAUACUUUAUCCAUAUGUAUCUCAAAUGAACGAACAAUACGCAACAUUGUAUAUACAAAUGGCACUCUGUGAGAAAACUCUUCAACAAUGGCUCGACGAAAGAGUAGAGAUGACAUCACAAACAAUGAUUAUUGCAAUAUUGACGCAAAUUCUGUGUGGCGUAGAUUAUAUACAUUCUCGUGGAAUUGUGCAUCACGACAUAAAGCCGAGCAAUAUAUUUAUUUCAAUGUCAGGUCGACUGCAAAUACAACUAGGAGAUUUUGGUUUAGCUUGUCCAUUGCAAAGGGAAAAUCAUCGUUCUAUACUUGGUACACAUAUGUACGCUGCACCAGAACAACUACAGGGGAAAUGUAAUCCUAAAAGCGACAUAUACAGUCUAGGAAUAGUACUUCUAGAACUAUUAGUACAUACAAAAACUUACAUGGAGAGGAUUGAAGUAAUUAAUGGCUUAAAGCGAGGUCAAAUACCAACAACAUUGACUGCUACUUAUCCUAAAUGGGCACAUAUAGUAAGCCAGUUAGUUCAAACCGAUCCUGAGAAGCGGCCAUCAACGAGUCAAUUGUUACAAAACUUAAAUGAAGACAAAGAUAUAACGAUAGCACAGUUAAGAAAUGAUAUUGCUGAAAAAGAUGAGACAAUAAAUAAAUUACAAGAAAGGAUAUCGUUGUUAGAAAGACAAAUAGUUAAAUUUAAUAUACCGAUUAAGGAUACAUAAACGCUCCUUAUAAUUGAAUUGAAAGAAGACAAUCUUUUAGAAGAAGUAUAUCUCGUAUUAUUUUUUCAAUAAUGAGCAAUAAAAUGAGGUAUAUCAUGUAGGAGACCACCAGUUAAUACACUAUUGUUUGUAUUUAGUGACAAUAGUAUCUGCAAAUAUAAUAUUUCGUUUAAAAAUUGAAAAUAGAAAAUUAAGGUGUUCUGUUUCAAAACAUUUAGUUAUUUCUUGUAACAAAUUUAUAUAAAUGGUAUAUCAUAGCAA
This is an RNA transcript of Osmia bicornis bicornis, 2424 nucleotides long. It is a transcript of the gene named eukaryotic translation initiation factor 2-alpha kinase 1-like, with no coding region annotated. The record is from RefSeq and is a predicted model, not a curated record. The transcript is spliced from 10 exons. Lineage: Eukaryota; Metazoa; Arthropoda; Insecta; Hymenoptera; Megachilidae.